This 1036-nucleotide ribosomal RNA is filed under the name uncultured bacterium. Its description in RNAcentral is "bacterial SSU rRNA". It matches the Rfam family "Archaeal small subunit ribosomal RNA", at positions 322 to 1354 of the family's 1478-position model. The record is from RNAcentral.
CCUACGGGGGGCAGCAGGCGCGAAACCUUUACACUGUACGAAAGUGCGAUAAGGGGACUCCGAGUGUGAAGGCAUAGAGCCUUCACUUUUGUACACCGUAAGGUGGUGCACGAAUAAGGACUGGGCAAGACCGGUGCCAGCCGCCGCGGUAAUACCGGCAGUCCGAGUGAUGGCCGAUCUUAUUGGGCCUAAAGCGUCCGUAGCUGGCUGAACAAGUCCGUUGGGAAAUCUGUCCGCUUAACGGGCAGGCGUCCAGCGGAAACUGUUCAGCUUGGGACCGGAAGACCUGAGGGGUACGUCUGGGGUAGGAGUGAAAUCCUGUAAUCCUGGACGGACCGCCGGUGGCGAAAGCGCCUCAGGAGAACGGAUCCGACAGUGAGGGACGAAAGCUAGGGUCUCGAACCGGAUUAGAUACCCGGGUAGUCCUAGCUGUAAACGAUGUCCGCUAGGUGUGGCGCAGGCUACGAGCCUGCGCUGUGCCGUAGGGAGGCCGAGAAGCGGACCGCCUGGGAAGUACGUCUGCAAGGAUGAAACUUAAAGGAAUUGGCGGGGGAGCACCACAACCGGAGGAGCCUGCGGUUUAAUUGGACUCAACGCCGGACAUCUCACCAGCCCCGACAGUAGUAAUGACGGUCAGGUUGAUGACCUUACCCGAGGCUACUGAGAGGAGGUGCAUGGCCGCCGUCAGCUCGUACCGUGAGGCGUCCUGUUAAGUCAGGCAACGAGCGAGACCCGCACUCCUAAUUGCCAGCAGUACCCUUUGGGUAGCUGGGUACAUUAGGUGGACUGCCGCUGCCAAAGCGGAGGAAGGAACGGGCAACGGUAGGUCAGUAUGCCCCGAAUGGGCUGGGCAACACGCGGGCUACAAUGGUCGAGACAAUGGGAAGCCACUCCGAGAGGAGGCGCUAAUCUCCUAAACUCGAUCGUAGUUCGGAUUGAGGGCUGAAACUCGCCCUCAUGAAGCUGGAUUCGGUAGUAAUCGCGUGUCAGCAGCGCGCGGUGAAUACGUCCCUGCUCCUUGUACACACCGCCCGUC